Molecule: small nucleolar RNA, 170 nt
Filed under: Prunus dulcis (almond)
Lineage: Eukaryota; Viridiplantae; Streptophyta; Magnoliopsida; Rosales; Rosaceae
Description: sRNA ncRNA
Source: RNAcentral
GAGUGAGGAUGAGAGUGAGAGAGAGAAUGAGAAGGGAAGAUGAGAGGGAAGAGUAACAAAAGUGAAAACAAUUUUAAAUAGAUUUCAGUUUUUAGUUUUGGUUUUCAUUUUUGUUACUUCUCCGUCUCAUCCUCCUCUCUCAUCUUUCCUCUCAAUCUUAUCUCCACUCU